Molecule: transfer RNA, 85 nt
Filed under: Burkholderiales bacterium
Lineage: Bacteria; Pseudomonadati; Pseudomonadota; Betaproteobacteria; Burkholderiales
Also listed under: 1 other name
Description: tRNA-Leu
Rfam family: tRNA
About the family: Transfer RNA (tRNA) molecules are approximately 80 nucleotides in length.
Source: RNAcentral
GCGAAAGUGGCGGAAUUGGUAGACGCACUGGAUUUAGGUUCCAGCGCCGCAAGGCGUGUGGGUUCGAGUCCCUCCUUUCGCACCA